This 73-nucleotide transfer RNA is filed under the name marine sediment metagenome. RNAcentral's name for it is "tRNA-Glu". It matches the Rfam family "tRNA". From Rfam's summary of the family: Transfer RNA (tRNA) molecules are approximately 80 nucleotides in length. Their secondary structure includes four short double-helical elements and three loops (D, anti-codon, and T loops). Further hydrogen bonds mediate the characteristic L-shaped molecular structure. tRNAs have two regions of fundamental functional importance: the anti-codon, which is responsible for specific mRNA codon recognition, and the 3' end, to which the tRNAs corresponding amino acid is attached (by aminoacyl-tRNA synthetases). tRNAs cope with the degeneracy of the genetic code in two manners: having more than one tRNA (with a specific anti-codon) for a particular amino acid; and 'wobble' base-pairing, i.e. permitting non-standard base-pairing at the 3rd anti-codon position. The record is from RNAcentral.
GCUCUUAUCGUCUAGUAGACAAGGAUAUUAGGUUCUCAACCUAAAGACCUGGGCGCAAAUCCCAGUGAGAGCA